AUGAGGAUGAGGAGGAGGCACAGCAGGAUGGGGAUGGGGAUGAAGAGGAGGCACAGCAGGAUGGGGAUGGGGAUGAAGAGGAGGCACAGCAGGAUGGGGAUGAAGAGGAAGAGGAGGAGAAGGCACAGCAGGAUGGGGAUGAGGAAGAGGAGGCACAGCAGGAUGAGGAUGAAGAGCAGGCACAGCAGGAUGGGGAUGAGGAAGAGGAGGCACAGCAGGAUGAGGAUGAAGAGCAGGCACAGCAGGAUUGCAGAGGAGCCGGGGCAGGAAGGGAAGGAGCAGCAGCUCAGGGUGAAGGGUUUUGCCACUCGAGGGCAAGAGCCGGGCAGGGAACGGGGCCUUGGCUCCUGCAGGGAGUCAGGAACGGCUCCUGAGGGAACUGGGAACGCUUUCCGAUGGAAUCCAGGCUGGUUUCCGCAGGGAAACGGGAACAGUGGCUGCAGAGAAGCCGUUUGGUCGCGAUCCCACAUCCUCACCCAUCACCUCUGCCAGGCCCAGGAACAGCCCCAUCCCUUCUCCAGCCCUUCUCUCGCUGCAGGAAUCCAGGGAUUCUCCCUGGGGGAAUCCAGGGAUUCUCCCUGCAGGAAUCCAAGGAUUCUCCCUGGGGGAAUCCAGGGAUUCUCCCUGGGGGAAUCCAGGGAUUCUCUCUGGGGGAAUCCAGGGAUUCUCCCUGCAGGAAUCCAGGGAUUUUCCCUGGAGGGAUCCAGGGAUUCUCCCUGGCUCUGCUCUGCUCCCACUCCAUUCUCUCACUCCCGGCCAUUCCCAGCACUGGGAGCAGGAGGGGAGAGCAGCCCCCAGUGCUCCCAGUGCUCCCAGUGCUCCCAGNNNNNNNNNNNNNNNNNNNNCUCCCUGCAGGAAUCCAGGGAUUCUCUCUGGGGGAAUCCAGGGAUUCUCUCUGCGGGAAUCCAGGGAUUCUCUCUGCAGGAAUCCAGGGAUUCUCCCUGGGGGAAUCCAGGGAUUCUCUCUGCGGGAAUCCAGGGAUUCUCUCUGGGGGAAUCCAGGGAUUCUCCCUGCGGGAAUCCAGGGAUUCUCUCUGGGGGAAUCCAGGGAUUCUCCCUGCGGGAAUCCAGGGAUUCUCCCUGCAGGAAUCCAGGGAUUCUCCCUGCAGGAAUCCAGGGAUUCUCUCUGGGGGAAUCCAGGGAUUCUCCCUGCAGGAAUCCAGGGAUUCUCCCUGCAGGAAUCCAGGGAUUCUCCCUGCAGGGAUCCAGGGAUUCUCUCUGCAGGAAUCCAGGGAUUCUCCCUGGGGGAAUCCAGGGAUUCUCCCUGCAGGGAUCCAGGGAUUCUCUCUGGGGGAAUCCAGGGAUUCUCUCUGCGGGAAUCCAGGGAUUCUCCCUGCAGGAAUCCAGGGAUUCUCCCUGGGGGAAUCCAGGGAUUCUCUCUGCGGGAAUCCAGGGAUUCUCCCUGCGGGAAUCCAGGGAUUCUCUCUGGGGGAAUCCAGGGAUUCUCCCUGGCUCUGCUCUGCUCCCACUCCAGCCUCUCACUCCCGGCCAUUCCCAGCUCUGGGAGCAGGAGGGGAGAGCAGCCCCCAGUGCUCCCAGUGCUCCCAGUGCUCCCAGUUCCAGCAGCAGCUCCUCCCGGUGUCCAGCAGCGUUUUGGGGUCCCCAGGGGGGGAAGGAGCAGGUGGGGAUCCAGGCUUUUCUCCCCAGCAUUCCCGAGGAUUUAAAGGAAUUCCCGUGGUUUGGGGAAUUCCCAAAGCUCCCCUCAAAUCCAUUGUUUUUCCCUCAUUUUUUCCUGGAUGAAUCCUUGAAUCUUUUCCCUCCCCGAGCGCCCCAGGCCCUUCCUGUGAGCAGAACCCCGACACUCGCACCAGCAGCACUUCUGGGACACCAGUUACUGCAAACUGGGACAAACUGGGACACCAGUUACACUGACUGGGACAAACUGGGACACCAGUUAGACACUGACUGGGACACCAGUUACACUGACUGGGACACCAGUUACUGCAAACUGGGACACCAGUUACACUGCAAACUGGGACACCAGUUACACUGCAAACUGGGACACCAGUUACACUGCAAACUGGGACAAACUGGGACACCAGUUACACUGACUGGGACACCAGUUACACUGACUGGGACAAACUGGGACACCAGUUACAUACUGGGACACCAGUUACUGCAAACUGGGACACCAGUUACUGCAAACUGGGACACCAGUUACACACUGGGAGACCAGUUAGACACUCACUGGGACACCAGUUAG
RNAcentral lists this long non-coding RNA (2202 nucleotides) under Cyanistes caeruleus (blue tit). Its description in RNAcentral is "lncRNA (ENSCCEG00000011117.1)". Lineage: Eukaryota; Metazoa; Chordata; Aves; Passeriformes; Paridae. The record is from RNAcentral.